Molecule: ribosomal RNA, 587 nt
Filed under: uncultured bacterium
Lineage: Bacteria
Description: bacterial SSU rRNA
Rfam family: Bacterial small subunit ribosomal RNA
Source: RNAcentral
CCUACGGGAGGCAGCAGUAGGGAAUCUUCCGCAAUGGACGAAAGUCUGACGGAGCAACGCCGCGUGAACGAUGAAGGCUUUCGGGUCGUAAAGUUCUGUUGUCAGGGAAGAACAAGUACCGGAGUAACUGCCGGUACCUUGACGGUACCUGACCAGAAAGCCACGGCUAACUACGUGCCAGCAGCCGCGGUAAUACGUAGGUGGCAAGCGUUGUCCGGAAUUAUUGGGCGUAAAGCGCGCGCAGGCGGUUCCUUAAGUCUGAUGUGAAAGCCCCCGACUCAACCGGGGAGGGUCAUUGGAAACUGGGGAACUUGAGUGCAGAAGAGGAGAGCGGAAUUCCACGUGUAGCGGUGAAAUGCGUAGAGAUGUGGAGGAACACCAGUGGCGAAGGCGGCUCUCUGGUCUGUAACUGACGCUGAGGCGCGAAAGCGUGGGGAGCGAACAGGAUUAGAUACCCUGGUAGUCCACGCCGUAAACGAUGAGUGCUAAGUGUUAGAGGGUUUCCGCCCUUUAGUGCUGCAGCAAACGCAUUAAGCACUCCGCCUGGGGAGUACGGCCGCAAGGCUGAAACUCAAAGGAAUUGACGG